This 336-nucleotide RNase P RNA is filed under the name human gut metagenome. RNAcentral's name for it is "Bacterial RNase P class B". It matches the Rfam family "Bacterial RNase P class B". Rfam says of the family: Ribonuclease P (RNase P) is a ubiquitous endoribonuclease, found in archaea, bacteria and eukarya as well as chloroplasts and mitochondria. Its best characterised activity is the generation of mature 5'-ends of tRNAs by cleaving the 5'-leader elements of precursor-tRNAs. Cellular RNase Ps are ribonucleoproteins. The record is from RNAcentral.
UUGGCAAACGCUAUAUCCUUGUGAUAUAGAGGAAAGUCCAUGCUCACACAGCCUGCGAUGACUGUAGUGUUCGUGCUAGAGGAAAAAAUAACUCUAGGUAACAUAUGAUGUUAACGGCGGCGAAGUAACCUAAACCUUUGGUAUGGUUAUUGUAGCCAUAAAGUGUCAAAGUGACGAUGAAACUGGAAACGGUGGAAGUGGAACGUGAUAAACCCCGCGAGUGAGAAACUCAAAUUUGGUAGAGGAGCUUUAACGAAGGAAUUGAACUGAGUUAGGGACUAGGUAACUAGUAGAUAAAUGUUUGCUGCCUAGAAAUAGGAACAGAACAUGGCUUAU